CACGGGGGUGUGGAGCUGAGAACUGCACACGAUUCCCAUCCCAACCCUAAACCACUUCUGUAAUCAGAAGAUUUAAUUAAAAGGGGGUGGUUUGCCCGGUGUUUUCCCCCAGUUGUGCCAAACAAAAGAAACACCGAUGCCUAUGCGUGUGUCAGUUCGCAGAGUUGAAUUUCUCCGGGCAGGUUAGAAGGUAGUGGCCACUGACAUGGACAUGUAUUGUGGUCACUUUGGCCUCACUUGCCAGCACCCCUACUUUUUU
RNAcentral lists this non-coding RNA (259 nucleotides) under Solanum tuberosum (potato). The record is from RNAcentral. Lineage: Eukaryota; Viridiplantae; Streptophyta; Magnoliopsida; Solanales; Solanaceae.